AGUGAACGCUGGCGGUAGGCCUAACACAUGCCAGUCGAACGGCAGCACAGUAAGAGCUUGCUCUUACGGGUGGCGAGUGGCGGACGGGUGAGGAAUACAUCGGAAUCUACUUUUUCGUGGGGGAUAACGUAGGGAAACUUUCGCUAAUACCGCAUACGACCUACGGGUGAAAGCAGGGGAUCUUCGGACCUUGCGCGAUUGAAUGAGCCGAUGUCGGAUUAGCUAGUUGGCGGGGUAAAGGCCCACCAAGGCGACGAUCCGUAGCUGGUCUGAGAGGAUGAUCAGCCACACUGGAACUGAGACACGGUCCAGACUCCUACGGGAGGCAGCAGUGGGGAAUAUUGGACAAUGGGCGCAAGCCUGAUCCAGCCAUACCGCGUGGGUGAAGAAGGCCUUCGGGUUGUAAAGCCCUUUUGUUGGGAAAGAAAAGCAGCAGGUUAAUACCCCGCUGUUCUGACGGUACCCAAAGAAUAAGCACCGGCUAACUUCGUG
RNAcentral lists this ribosomal RNA (492 nucleotides) under uncultured bacterium. Its description in RNAcentral is "partial 16S ribosomal RNA". It matches the Rfam family "Bacterial small subunit ribosomal RNA", at positions 29 to 507 of the family's 1533-position model. The record is from RNAcentral.